This 45-nucleotide non-coding RNA is filed under the name Echinostoma caproni. The record is from RNAcentral. Lineage: Eukaryota; Metazoa; Platyhelminthes; Trematoda; Plagiorchiida; Echinostomatidae.
GCACUGCUGACGAGUCCUAAACAGGACGAAACAGCUGUUCAGUGC